UAGAAACAGACUUAGAGACCAGUCAUGGCAA
RNAcentral lists this non-coding RNA (31 nucleotides) under Mus musculus (house mouse). The record is from RNAcentral. Lineage: Eukaryota; Metazoa; Chordata; Mammalia; Rodentia; Muridae.